GUUUUACAGGACGUCCCUCCUUAAAAUGGUUAGGAGUGGAGUUUUACAGGUUGUCCGUUCUCCAAAUAAAUACACAACCUCAUCUCGAUAAAAUGGAAUGUCGCAAAUAUUUUAUUUCAUAUUUUGGACAAGAAAACAGUGGACUUAUUAAAGUAAAAACAUAUGUAUUUCUACAAAAUAUACAAAUUAACCUCUUAGUGUAGUGUUUACGGAGGAAAUAGCCGGAAAUGGAGCAAUGUGGAGAUCAUAAUUUAAGUCAAGUUCCUUAGAGCUUCACAGUUAAAAACAUGUUUGCUCGUAUUUUUUUUUUUUAUUGUGUGUUCAAUCGCAUUGAGACGUGAUACCAUGAAUGCACUAAUCAAAUAUAGCAUGAUAUUUAACAUGUUUGAGUUUUAAAAGAGUAUCGUACUAUGCUCUCAUUGUGAACAAUUGCCGAUUCCUCGUGUCAUUUCAUGUAAAAUUACACACUAACCGUAAUUUGACACGGUAUAUUUUUUCGAUUCUUUGUUCGAUCCGCACUUCAGUAGUAUAUUUCGACAAGGUAGUAAACAUCGUCAGAAGUGGCUGUAUUCCAGGCACUUAAUUCUUUGCAUAAUUAUUACAAAAACAUUAUUAGUAAUAAAAGUUUAUUUAAUAGCCUCUAUAGUAAUUAUAGUGCUGCAAUGGUAAUAUUGCUUUUUUAUACUCUUGCUGACUAUUGGAAAAAAAUCUUUCAGAUGCACCGAUCUAUCUGUGAGGCUGGUUCCUAUCCAGCUCUAGAAGAAUGCCAUGUUUGUUGUAAGGGACUUUUUCAUUACCCGCUGUGUCCUACCUUUAAACCCAGCAAAAAGACAGGCCCAUAUAUGAAUCUUCAUGUAAAAAGGGCAUUUCAUUUUAAAGACAUGGCUUUAGAUUUGCCUUUUGGACUGUUGAGGCAACUGGCCUCCUUCAGCGCAAGUUGUAGCCUGUACACAGGGUAUCCAGUACAUCUAAAAUAAGUCAUAGCACCCCAAAACAUGAGGUGGUGCUCAGUGAGCGUAGUUCAAACAACGAAAAGCCUGUGGACCUUAUAAUCAAGGAACAAGUGGCAAAAGAACAACUGAAUUUCCUCUAGCAAGGUCCAAGACUGGACCCAAAUCACCUGAUCACCACAUCAAAAGGGACACCUCACCCCCACCAGGCAGCCAGAACCCUGCAGCCAAAUUCCAGUGACCAGAUCUGGCUGCGUCAAGACACAGAUGCAUCCUACACCCGCUAACUCACACCAACACAGGAGAGAUUGGGGUUAUUCUAACACUCUCUUGCAACCUCUGACUGGACUCCGUUUCUCCGAGACCCGAUGCGACUGCCUAAGUUGAGUUACGGUGAAUACCGGCUCAACCACUGAGGUGUGCACACGCUGGGUUACGGCAAAGUCCGGCCCAGCCUCUGAGGCGCGCACACGCUGAGUUACGGUAAAAGACCGGCUCAGCCUCUGAGGCACUCACACGCUGAGGUAUGGCAAACACCGGCUUAACCUUUGUGGCCCUCACUAGCUCAGAUUUGGCCAGUGUCAGCUGAGACUCUGUGGUGUUAUGGGUCGCCAGGUCCUGACGGUUAUCUAGGCUGGUACUGUAUUACAUUGUAGUGAUUUCCCAACUUCUAAACCCAGUCCUACAUAGCAGAUCCACGAAUCGCCCCAUCGGCCAAGGCGAAUCCGGUGUGCUCCACCAUCCGGGAUUAGUGGGAGUUCAGCAAUAGAAGGCACUGCCCAGAAGUAAUCUAAAUAACAGAAAUGUCAUGACUAAAAUUGCCAUAAAGAUCUUUAAUUAAAUUGGAGUCAGAUAUGAUUCGGUCUUUACCUAAACCCACACGCAUUCCAAACCUUCGGCUGUCCAAUUGGAUUCCACCAUUGGGCCAGUGGACGGUUCCCCCACACCUGUUGCACUAAUACAAUUGCAUUUCAACUAAUAAUAAUCGCCAAACUACUCACUCAAAUCAACAACCCCACAAAUACCCAACACGCAAGGAUUUUUUCCAGGGUUUUUUUAAUAGGUUUUUUCUCUCGCCGUGAACAAUGACACGGCGGUCACGUGACUGAUGUUUCUAAACAUUUCACAAACUCCGUAUCGAGACGGGAAGUUUCGGACGUCUUCGGAACGGAUCGAUCCUGGGUGCCGAAAUUGCCAUCUCUGCUUUCUACCUCCUGCACCAGUUCAGGCUCCUUUCCCACAAGAGAGGUUACAUUCCAUGUUCCUAAAACCAGUUUCAGUAACCGAAGAUUGGUCCGUCAGGACCCUUGCCUUUGAGUGCCACCUGAUCCACAUAACACCUGACCCCCAUGGCCCCCCCCUACUGGUGGUGGGCCCACAGGAGGG
Molecule: non-coding RNA, 2336 nt
Organism: Paramormyrops kingsleyae
Lineage: Eukaryota; Metazoa; Chordata; Actinopteri; Osteoglossiformes; Mormyridae
Source: RefSeq, a predicted model, not a curated record